GAUGAAGAACGCAGCGAAAUGCGAUAAGUAAUGUGAAUUGCAGAAUUCAGUGAAUCAUCGAAUCUUUGAACGCACAUUGCGCCCGCCAGUAUUCUGGCGGGCAUGCCUGUUCGAGCGCCAUUUCAACCAUCAAGCCCCAGGCUUGUGUUGGGGGCCUGCAGCUGCUGCAGCCCCCUAAAAGCAGUGGCGGACUCGCUGUCAUACCGAGCGCAGUAGUUACAUCUCGCUCUGGGCAUGGCGGCGGGCACCUGCCGUAAAACACUCUUUCUAAGGUUGACCUCGGAUCAGGUAGGAAUACCCGCUGAACUUAAGCAUAUCAAUAAGCGGAGGA
Molecule: unclassified non-coding RNA, 331 nt
Filed under: soil metagenome
Description: partial contains 5.8S ribosomal RNA, internal transcribed spacer 2, and large subunit ribosomal RNA
Rfam family: 5.8S ribosomal RNA (bases 1-120)
Source: RNAcentral